ACAGCUUUAAGUUAAGAGUUAGACUAUAGGUCUUCAAAAUCUAAAGAUUAGCUGUA
Molecule: transfer RNA, 56 nt
Filed under: Paralongidorus litoralis
Lineage: Eukaryota; Metazoa; Nematoda; Enoplea; Dorylaimida; Longidoridae
Description: tRNA-Trp
Source: RNAcentral